UGGGUUGGCGGGCUCUUUGCUUAGGCAUCGAACCGUCCACGUACGCUCCACGUCAGUAAUGCAUCAAGAAUUUCUUGUGCAUCGAACGGAUUCCUGUAUUUUCUACCUAUUGUAAGGAAUGGUGCCUCUUGUUGACCCUUUCCAAAUCCUUCCUUGCGGGAAGGAGGAGGACAUCGUAGUAGUGCUUGUGUCCCGAGCAUUGGGCGUGCCUUUUGGUGUGCCUUGCGACGGCCCUCAAGUUACUACUUGAUAUCUCGGAUGCAGAAAAUUCGGUGGGCUUGGGGUUUUACGGCCCCUUGAUGUCCAAUUCAAAGCGUUUUGUCGCUAGACACGUACGAUUGCUGUGCUCGUUGCGGGAUCUCUCGCAAUGAGUCGGCGUCGACAAAGGAAUGCUACCUGGUUGAUCCUGCCAGUAGUCAUAUGCUUGUCUCAAAGAUUAAGCCAUGCAUGUGUAAGUAUGAACUAAUUCAGACUG
This 475-nucleotide unclassified non-coding RNA is filed under the name Rubus idaeus (red raspberry). RNAcentral's name for it is "partial contains external transcribed spacer and 18S ribosomal RNA". The stretch from base 394 to 475 matches the Rfam family "Eukaryotic small subunit ribosomal RNA", at positions 1 to 83 of the family's 1831-position model. The record is from RNAcentral. Lineage: Eukaryota; Viridiplantae; Streptophyta; Magnoliopsida; Rosales; Rosaceae.